GUCCAACUCCACCUGGUCCAACUCCGCCUGGUCUAACACCUCCUGGUGCUAUGCCUCCAGGUCCUUGUCCACCAUAUCCUCCUAAGGAAAUGAGACCAGAGUCAAUAAAACCAAGCAGAAAAUGA
Xiphophorus couchianus (Monterrey platyfish) is the source of this 125-nucleotide long non-coding RNA. RefSeq lists it as uncharacterized. Lineage: Eukaryota; Metazoa; Chordata; Actinopteri; Cyprinodontiformes; Poeciliidae. The record is from RefSeq and is a predicted model, not a curated record. The transcript is spliced from 2 exons.